RNAcentral lists this ribosomal RNA (451 nucleotides) under uncultured bacterium. RNAcentral's name for it is "partial 16S ribosomal RNA". It matches the Rfam family "Bacterial small subunit ribosomal RNA", at positions 28 to 523 of the family's 1533-position model. The record is from RNAcentral.
GAUGAACGCUGGCGGCGUGCCUAAUACAUGCAAGUCGAACGAGAUCUUCUGAUCUAGUGGCGAACGGGUGAGUAACGCGUUGGUACCUACCCUGAAGUGGGGAAUAACUGGCCGAAAGGUCGGCUAAUACCGCAUAAUACCGCAAGGUUAAAGUCGUAAGACGCUUCGGGAGGGGCCUGCGUCCAAUUAGCUAGUUGGUGAGGUAACUGCUCACCAAGGCGACGAUGGGUAGCUGGAUCGAGAGGUUGACCAGCCACACUGGGACUGAGAUACGGCCCAGAUUCCUACGGGAGGCAGCAGUAAGGAAUCUUCCACAAUGGGCGAAAGCCUGAUGGAGCAACGCCGCGUGCAGGAUGACGGUCUUCGGAUUGUAUACUGCUUUUAUAUGGGAAGAUUAUGACGGUACCAUAUGAAUAAGCACCGGCUAACUACGUGCCAGCCGCCGCCGUAA